GGGGCUUCCAAUGCCGUAGCCAAGGAGACGACGUAGCAGACAACCGACAGUCGGGCCGGUCCUUAUCAACAAAAUUCCUUGUUUUGUAUUUAAAUUAUCCACACUGGACAUUUCCCACUAUAUAAUUUCAAAGUUAUAACAUCAGGGACAACCCCUUGAUAAGCGUUAAGCAGGAGGUGGAGUUUAGCAGUGACCGUAGAUCUGCUUUAGUUGCAAACACCAUUGGCUUUCAUUACGACUACUCGCCAUUCAUGAAGACAGAACCAUCGCUUCGGAUUCGAGGUGAUAGUGAUACACCAGGAUCCGAAAUAGGUGAGGGAGUGAUUGCCAUGACUACGACAGGAGCUCAGUAUGCUUUGGCAGCAUCCGCUGGGGCAGGUAAUGGUGGAGGUGCCUCUACAGCAGUGGGGGUGGAUACCAAACCAAACAUUGUCACUUUAACUGCAACUUCCACGGGCAAUAGUACUACAUGCCAAGCUCAGCCUACACGAGGUCAACAAGUCAUUACUGUUGUAACAAGUCCUGAUCCAUCAAGUCCCAACAGUCUUCAACCCAUUCAGCUACUAGUCCAGGAUACACUUGAUUCCACAGCAGAUUCUUCAAACGGUUCUUCGAGUACACCAGCUCACGUAACAGCCCAAGUAGUGGUUAAUACUGCUCAUGCUGGACAGCAUACUCUUGUAGAUCCUGACGUCACUUCCACGUCUGCUGGUACAAUUGUUAGUGGUUCACCGCAUUACAUAACUGUUACAGUGGCUGGUGCUCCUGAAGCAGUGGGGUCCGAUUCAGUUUCACAUCCAACUUAUGUUCAAUAUGUUGAAGAAGAUGGAUCCGCGUAUAUUCCGACGAAUGGGCAGAUGACAUAUCCUGUGUAUGCUGUUGGCGAGGCAGGUACAAUGUAUACACCAUCUUCCAGUCAGUAUUUCACAUCCGCUACGACACCAGUAACUUACGCACAGGUUCAGGGUUCAAACACAGGACAGUUAUUAUCACAAGGAAAUGGAGCUUAUCUUAUACAACAGAGCGUUGUUGAUGGCGAUGCAGCGACUCAUGCACUUAUUUCAGCUGCAGCAGCUCGUGCCAGCCCACAAACCGACAGUGCGGAGGCAGUGGUUAGCGGUGGUGGAGGGGCAUACUUGAUCAGCGGCAAUACAGGUAGCACUACAGUCAGCGUGGAAGAAGCUGCCGCCGCCGCGAAUAUGACACAUGCUACUAGAGUCUCCCAGGCCACCGUAAGCCAUAUCGACUCCCCGUUUGUACAAUGGUUAUUAGAAAAUUAUGAGACUUCAGAUGGAGUAUCUCUUCCAAGAUCAACACUUUACAAUCAUUAUCUUCGCCAUUGCUCGGAUAAUAAAUUAGAUCCUGUUAAUGCAGCGAGCUUUGGAAAAUUAAUUCGUUCAGUAUUUUUAGGUUUAAGAACUCGACGUUUAGGAACUCGAGGAAACUCAAAGUACCAUUAUUAUGGUAUUCGUGUAAAGCCUAACUCACCAUUGAUUUUAUUAAAUGAAGAUGGAACUUCACGACAACAAACAACUUCAAAUUCUCAGGCCAAGAGAUUUAAGUUUGUUAAUCAGAAACAAGAUCCAGCAUAUGAUGCUAAUACGCAUUCUAAUACGAAUAUGUCGUCUCAUAAUUCACCGCCUCAGUAUCAACAAUAUCUUGGAGAAGGGGGCAAUGCAAUUCCAGAAUUUCCAGAAAUUAUCGUCGGACACGGAUCGUCUUUACCGGAAGAUUGCACUUUAGAAGAUAUCGAUACAUUCCGCAGUAUUUAUAGAGAGCACUGUGAGGCCUUUCUAGACGCUGUUUUGAAUUUUGAGUUUGCUACAAUUGAAAGUUUAUGGAGGGAAUUCUGGCGGAGUCAAGAUAAUAACAAUGGCGAUGAAUGCGAAGAAGAAAAAUAUUUGUCAAAGACUAAACUCUACCAGAUGUGCAAAUGUUCCGAAGUGCAAGAUUUCAUCAGACAAGUGGAUUACAACUUUUAUCAAAACUUAGUUGAAGUUCUCAUGCCUGAUGUUUUACGACCUAUUCCUAGUUCACUGACACAAUCUAUAAGAAACUUUGCCAAAGGUCUUGAAUCGUGGUUGACGUCAGCAAUGAAUGAUUGUCCUCAAGAGAUGAUGCACAUAAAGUUGACAGCAGUAUCUGCAUUUGCACAAACAUUGAGGCGAUACACUUCUCUGAAUCACUUAGCUCAAGCUGCGCGAGCUGUACUUCAAAAUACUAGUCAAAUUAAUCAGAUGUUAACAGAUUUAAAUCGAGUAGAUUUUCACAAUGUUCAAGAGCAGGCAUCAUGGGUUUGUCAGUGUGACUAUACAGUUGUUCAACGUUUAGAAACCGAUUUUAAAGUAACACUUCAGCAACAAAAUUCUUUGGAACAAUGGGCAGUAUGGCUGAAAGGAGUGGUAACUCAAGUUCUUAAACCUUACGAGGGUAAACCAACUUUCGCUAAAGCUGCACGUCAGUUUCUUCUUAAGUGGUCAUUUUACAGUUCAAUGGUUAUACGAGAUCUCACAUUAAGAAGUGCUGCAAGUUUCGGUUCUUUUCAUCUAAUUCGCUUGCUGUAUGAUGAGUACAUGUUUUUCUUAAUUGAACAUCAGGUUGCUGUAGCUACAGGAACAACUCCCAUUGCAGUAAUGGGCGAUAAAAACCAAAGUCCACCUGUUUUCUAUACUUUUGGAACAACUACAAAUGGAGGUACUUUUAUUCAUAAUUAAAUAAAUUUAACCCUCUACUUAUACAAGUGAACGUUAUUGUCAAAAAAAUGUGAAAUCCAAUGCGUAGAUUCAAAUCCAACCAAACGUAUUAAAAUGAGCUAACUGCACACUUUGCACUCUGGAAUAGUAGGAAGUUGAUAGAAGUGAAGGAGCUCACAAAAAUCGAACAGGCCUAUUAUACUUAUACAUACAUAUACUAGUCUAGUAAGUUAAUAUUUUAUAUAUAAAAAGUGGAUAAUUUAUUGUGACUCUAUGAGGGUUAACACAUAAUAAUAGCCUACUUAAAAUAGGCUUUUUUCGGAAAAGUUUAAAAUAAGAAUUACAAAUUCUUUUAUUUUAACAAUCAAAUGUUAUAUAUGAGGAAAAAUAAUUUUGCAAUAGAUUCAAACCAAAUUGUUCAUUAGUAUACUAUUUCAAAUGAAACAAUCUUAAUGUAUAUACACGGGACCAUGAACUCAUCAUGUCCAAUACAUACCUACCUUAAUAUAAGCAUAAUAUUAUUUAUCUUAUCAAUUUUAAGUAUUAACAUUUUUCUUCUCAAAUUACGUUUUUAUUUAACGUUUAAUCAAUUGAUGUUUUUACUUUUAUAAUAAACAUGAGUUCUCAUUGUAAAAAGUAUUGUUUAAAAUGUGACUAUUUUAGUGGUUACUAAAGUGAUUUAAAAAAUAAAAAAAAAUACUGAUGUGAAUUUUCACGUAAUAUAAAAGUGUACUUGUUUUGAAGAGGACGUAAUUAUCUGAGCUUAUUUUUGUAUGGGCAAAGUGAAACAAAAAUAUGCAGAAAGAUAUAUAGAUUUUUUUUAUAAAUUAUCUAUUAUUUAAAAUUUAAUAAUAAAUCACAUGUUUUAUUAGAAAAGUGAAUAACUAAUUCAUAAAAUGCAAAAAUUUAUAUUUCAAAAUUUCACCUAUUUUAAUGAACAUUUUAAUUUACAAAAUUCCAUUUCACUAAGCUUAGUUUAAUAACUAGAAGUUCCGGCAACCAAAUUUACACUUAUUAUUUAAGUCCAAUGAAAUUUUCGUUUAACGAAAAUUUUCAACAUUUUACAUUAAAUAGUAUUUUUUGGAAGAAAUUAAUAAAGAAUUAAAUUUUGGUCCUAUAUAAAUUCUAUUAAAAAAUAAUUCUCUAAACAUUAAUUAUUUGUGAAUUUUUUGCGCCUUGUUUUUCUUAUACAUUUCUGAAUAAUUAGGUAUUUUUAAUGUAUUUGCUAUUAACUUCACUUUAUAAAAUAUAAUAAAUUUAUUGAUUUUCUAGGUAUUUACUUAAAUAAAUUUUUUAAAAAAUUAUUACAAUUACUCAUUAAGUUAUUUUUUUUCCUUAAAAUUAUACAUUUCUUAGUGAAGUUAAUGGUACAUAGGAAUUCCUAAAUAUUCUACAUCUGUUUUAGUAAAUUUUAUUUAAGAUUUUAAUGGGAGACAACAUUCUGAUCUAUAUGAAGUAUUUAUUUUAAAUUGUUAAAAAAAACUAGAAUGUUUUUAAUGUUAAUUUUUCGCUAGGAAUUCAAUUAUCAAAAAGUGAAAAGAUGUUCAAAACUGAUGGCUGAAACAAUAUUGCAAACAAACCAAUUUGUAGAAAUCAGAUUUCUAAAAAUGAAAUCGUUCGUUCUCAAAGUAAAUAUUUUUUAAAUUUAAGCAACCAAAUUUUUGGAAAAAUAUACAAAAAAAGAAGGUUUCAUAUGACAAUUUAGAAGAGGUCCUUCAUAUAUCUGAAAAUGACAUCAAAGUCUUCCCUUAACCACAUAUUUUCAUCUAGGAAAUAAUUGUACAUGAAUUUAUGUAACUUAAAUUAUACUUUACAUUAUUUGAUUUUUAUUGUGUAAAAAAUAUUACAAUUUGUAAUGCUUAGUCUAAGUUUACAUAGAAAAUAACUAUAUUUCAAAUAUCGAUCAUGUAGGAUUUAGUGGUUAUUUAUUAGACUAAUUUCCGAUUUCGUUUAAAACAAUAUUAUUUACGAUUCAGUUGAACCCUGAUAAAUCCAAAUUUCUUUUUUGUAAAAGAAAAUGCUUCUUAAAUUUUUUUUUAUUUUCUAUAUUAUUAAACGUUUCAUAUGUCAAAAUGUAUAAUUUGAUUUAUCCGGGUUCUACUGUUAAGCGAUUUAAUUAAAUGAUAAUAAUUAUAUUUUAUUAUAAAAAAUUAACAGCGAACCACAAUGAAAAUGUAUCCGCGUUUUAUUUUAAAAUUUAGUGACUUAAAAGUAUUUAUAUAUACUUAAAUUGAUUCUAUUUAUUGAAUAAUUAAACUUUUUAUAAUUAACCAAAGACGUAUUUUAUAAGAACCUCUUAUGAUUCGGUAUUUAAGAAUGAAUCAAUGACUGCACAAACAACGCACCAAGAAAUAAUUCGUAGUAUGCAUUUUAUUUUUAGAACAAAUAUAGAAAAAAAUAAACUGCAUAAAGUUACAAUUCCUUAGAUUGCGAAUUUAGUUAGAAAAAAAAUUGUUCAGUAAUAAUUGGUGUAAAUGUUUUUCAAGGUAAUUUAUACAUAAUUGUUUAAUCCUCACAUUAACUUGUGCAACUGAUAAUAAAUAAGAUUCCAGUUCUAUACAGCAUAGUAUCCCAAAUUUGACCUGAACAAAAAAAAAUGCUCUUUAUGAUUCCGUUGUGAGUAAAUUUAUUUCGCAAGUUUAUGAACUUCUAUAUACCGUGAAACUCGAUUUACUUAAAUAAAUAUCAAAAUAAAAAUCAGACUUUUGUACCGUACUUUAAAUGCAUAUAAAUUUUUUGACAAAAUAAUAUUAAUUGCAAACUAUUACCAUAUUAACCGUUGCUAUAGCAAUUAUUUCUUUGCCUUGGCAACGAUUGUCAUGGUAACAUAUCAUAUACUCACCAUUGCUAUGACAACCGCUAUCAUAGCAACAGCUACCAUAUAGUAACGAAUAAUAAAAUAAAAUUUUGUUUGUAAGAAAAACGCUUUUGAAUAUAAAAUAAAAAUACCUAAUAUUUAAACGUUAUUCAAGUAAUAAAAAAAAAAUAAUUUAGAUGGAAAAUAUAAUUUCAAUCUCAAUUUUGAUAACGUAUUUUUAAUUUAUGCAAUAAGACGUUUACUGAAUGUAUAAAUGUGUCUAGAAACCAGUCAAACACUGUAGAUACUACAUAUGUUAAGAAACAGGGAUUGAAUAUUAAAUAUGCGUGCAAAAGAUUAAUAAAAAUGGUCGAUUGCACUUAAAUAGAGGGAAAUCAUGUUUCCCUAACUGUAAUGAGCUUAUAAGUGUAAAAAAAAUUAUUAAAACCUAAGUGUACCUAAGCGUAAGAACAUUAUAUAUAUAUAUAAUUCAACUAGAUCUUUAAUUUCAAGCAAAGAAGAAUUCAAAUCUCGAGGGAUACAAGAAACAGACAUGAAUAAAGUAUAAAUUAAUGUCAUGCUUAAUAUUAUCUGAGUUUGUAUAAGGAUAUUACUUUAAAUCUAAAAUUUAAUUAAUAUAGAUUGCUGAAAAAAUUAAGCCCGUCCAUUUCAUCACUACAACAUAAUAUGUAUAAAACAUUUUUAAGAAAGGAUAAUUUUCUUAUUACUGCUUUUAUUUUAAAAUGAAAGAUUUUAGUUUUAUUAUUCUUCAGCUUGGAAAUGACAAUUUACAUAUGUAUUGACGUAUAUUGAAACAUUUUUCAUUAAAACAUGUAUAUAUUUAUAGUGAGUGAAAUGCGAAUUUAUUAUAAAACUUUUUAAUUUAAAAUAAUUUCGUACUUUGCGGAAUAAUAAAAACAUUGAAUACGGCCUUAAAUAUUCCAUGUGUAAGAAAUGAAAAAAAAAAAAUGUUCUACGAAAGGCCUGAGAGAUUAUGAAAGAGAAAACGUUUUAUAUUGCUUAAAAAAAUAUACGUAUGGGUGAGAAAAAUAAUUUCUUUGAUACGUAUAGAAAAUAUUUUGAUACUUCCGAAUUUGCACAAACAGAUAACCAUUAAUUACCGUUUAAAUAAGAUUAUUUUUACUGAAUGUAGCUCAAAAAAAUAACAAUUGUGAAUUUUCUAUUUGUUAAAAAUGUCCAAUGACCAUAUAAGUGUGCAAAUCACAAAAAUUGACCGAAUAAUAAAUAUAUGUUUAAAAUUAAAA
This is an RNA transcript of Leptopilina boulardi, 6755 nucleotides long. It is a transcript of the gene named DNA-binding protein RFX2, with no coding region annotated. The record is from RefSeq and is a predicted model, not a curated record. The transcript has 16 exons. Lineage: Eukaryota; Metazoa; Arthropoda; Insecta; Hymenoptera; Figitidae.